GUGCGUGUAGAUUAUGUUUAUGAAAUCGUAAGGCUGUUAACUUUAAGAAGGUGUUUUGUGCCCGCGGACG
RNAcentral lists this transfer RNA (70 nucleotides) under Tracheophilus cymbius. Its description in RNAcentral is "tRNA-Asn". Lineage: Eukaryota; Metazoa; Platyhelminthes; Trematoda; Plagiorchiida; Cyclocoelidae. The record is from RNAcentral.